Beta vulgaris subsp. vulgaris (sugar beet) is the source of this 1993-nucleotide RNA transcript. RefSeq lists it as hypothetical. Lineage: Eukaryota; Viridiplantae; Streptophyta; Magnoliopsida; Caryophyllales; Amaranthaceae. The transcript has 6 exons. The record is from RefSeq and is a predicted model, not a curated record.
CCCGUGAAGGGUUUAAAGUGGGCACAUACCUUAAAUUUUCUUUGUUAAUCUCACCUCUCUCAAGUCUCAACCGGGAAGGUAACCCAAUGAUGCAGGCACUGUUCAGAAGAACGAAGUGCAUUGUUUCCCACUCUUCUCAUUUCCAUUCCAUUUUACGGGAUUCUUCACCUGUGAACUAUUUAUCUCGAUAUUCCUUAAAUUUUCAUACUUGUUUGGAAUACUCAUUAAAUAGUUCUUUUUAUAAGCCGUGGGAUUCUAAUAGAUACAUUAUUUCUGGUGAUGUUGCCUCCAGAUGGCUAUGUGUUAGGCAUAUGAGCAGUUCAUCUGUUGGGAUAAAGGCUGAUAAUGGUGUUGUUAGGUUUUGUUUCGGCGAUUCGCCUGAUCAGAAGGGUAAUGUAGGUGUUGUCACUGAUGAAGGAAGGGGGAGGAUGAUGAAAAAGAAGAAGAAUUCAAGGAAGUCCAAGCUGAAUGAACUGAGGUUUUACCGCCUGAAGGCGAAGAAGAAGAUGAAAUCAUCGAAUCCCGAAGUUAGGAUUAGAUAUAAGCUUGGGAAGGCAAAACGAAAGGAAGCUUGGCUGAUUGAAAAAUUGAGGAAGUUGGAGUUACCUAAGCCUCCAGCUGAAACAUAUGAUCCUGAGAGUUUAACAGAGGAAGAGAGAUUUUAUUUGAAACGUACGGGCGAGAAAAAGAAGAAUUAUGUACCUGUUGGGAGAAGAGGAGUCUUUGGAGGAGUUGUACUCAAUAUGCAUCUGCAUUGGAAAAAGCAUGAAACAGUUAAGGUUGUUUGCAAACCCUGUAAACCUGGACAGGUUCAUGAAAUUGCUGAAGAGCUUGCUCGGCUGAGCAAAGGUAUUGUUAUUGACAUAAAACCUGACAACACUGUAAUAUUUUAUCGUGGAAAGAAUUAUGUGCGACCAGAAGUUAUGUCUCCUCCUGAUACACUGUCGAAGACAAAGGCCUUGGAGAAGUAUAAAUAUGAACAAUCCCUUGAGCAUACAAGUGAGUUUAUCGAAAAAUUGGAGGAGCAGCUGGAAGAGUAUCAUGAACACCUUACUCGGUUCAGGAGAGGAAAAGAUAAUGCAUCAAAAGAUUCUAGAGCACUUGAUUAAUGCUUGCACAAGGAAGGCGAUAGUAUCUUUGAGUCUGCAAAGUGCAAACCUUCUUGUAUCUAUAGGCAGCAUUCUCUGCCUGCUUUUCGGGCUACAUCUUUUUGCGCGUCUCCACUGAAUGGCUAAACAUUUUAAAAUGCUGAAAGGCUUGAAGUUCCUUUGUAACGCAGCAAAGUUGCAGUCUUUUUAAAGGGAACGACCGUUUUGUUUCAAUAUUGAAGUGAAGCAGCUUGUUAUAUGGUGGAGAACUCCUGUUUAUAGGCUUCAAAUCUGUGAUGCUUUGAUCAAUUAUCGUUCAAGGGUUGCUACUAGAAGAUAUUCUGAAGAGGGCAACUCUGCGAUGGACACUAUAAUGAUGGUAACUUGGCCACAAGGAUGGACAUAGAUCAUGGAAGAAUAUUUUGGUGCAAAGAAUCUUGAACUAAUUGGUGUAUGUUCCAAGAAGUAUCCUAGUUGAGAAAUGAUUUGUUAGUCUUGGCCGAAUGCAGCUGGAGCUGAAUAGCAAUGGAUUGCAGAGGAAACACUCCAAUUGAUUAGUAUGCUGAAGAGAUUUCUUGUGUUCUACGUGGACAGUACCCCAAGAGAGGUGGAGGCUUCGUUAUGCUGAUCGGGAGUUCAUUUACCAUACAUCCGGUUAUCCGGGUGUAGGUAGAUCAUGGUAUAUUGGUAUAUCACAUUCUCUUCUAUCAUCAUAAAGACAUAAAGCACAUGGAUGGAGAAUGUGGGAGGAUGUAUGUUGCAUAUUGUAGUUAAUCGGAGGCUAAUAUAGGAUUCUAGGUUCUUUUGUCCGCUAUACUUUUGAUUUGAGUGUCAUGUGUAAAUGUUUGGCUUUUGUGCCACUAUGUGCAAGUUGGAUUUGAAGUUGUUAGUACACAUUGCAAUUU